This 458-nucleotide ribosomal RNA is filed under the name [Eubacterium] infirmum. Its description in RNAcentral is "bacterial SSU rRNA". It matches the Rfam family "Bacterial small subunit ribosomal RNA", at positions 28 to 485 of the family's 1533-position model. The record is from RNAcentral. Lineage: Bacteria; Bacillati; Bacillota; Clostridia; Peptostreptococcales; Anaerovoracaceae.
GAUGAACGCUGGCGGCGUGCCUAACACAUGCAAGUCGAGCGAGAAGUAAAGAAAUGAAGCUUCGGUAGAUUUUCAUUAUGGAAAGCGGCGGACGGGUGAGUAACGCGUAGGCAACCUGCCCUGUACAGGGGGAUAGCCACCCGAAAAGGUGAUUAAUACCCCAUGAUGCAAGAGAUACACAUGUAUCACUUGUCAAAGAUUUAUCGGUAUGGGAUGGGCCUGCGUCUGAUUAGCUAGUUGGUGGGGUAACGGCUUACCAAGGCAACGAUCAGUAGCCGACCUGAGAGGGUGAUCGGCCACAUUGGAACUGAGACACGGUCCAAACUCCUACGGGAGGCAGCAGUGGGGAAUAUUGCACAAUGGGGGAAACCCUGAUGCAGCAACGCCGCGUGAAGGAAGAAGGCCUUCGGGUUGUAAACUUCUGUCCUAGGGGAAGAAACAAAUGACAUACCCUGGAG